RNAcentral lists this transfer RNA (73 nucleotides) under Felis catus (domestic cat). It matches the Rfam family "tRNA". From Rfam's summary of the family: Transfer RNA (tRNA) molecules are approximately 80 nucleotides in length. Their secondary structure includes four short double-helical elements and three loops (D, anti-codon, and T loops). The record is from Rfam by way of RNAcentral. Lineage: Eukaryota; Metazoa; Chordata; Mammalia; Carnivora; Felidae.
GCCUAGAUGGUUCAGUGGGAAGAACAUACAACUCUUGAUCUUGGGGUUGUGGGUUUGAGUCCCACUCUGGGAG